CACAGGGCCACCUGGUCACCCCUAGAAUAAUCUAGUCCCUCUUUAAUAAGACCCAGUUCCUCCCAUGAUAGACCCAGUAUACAUUGAGAGGUAUAAGAGACUAAAUCCAUCUACAUUUGCAGGAACAUCCUUAUUUGAAGAGGUCGAGUACUAGUUGGUAGAGACAGAGAAUGCAUUCGUAAUUCUUGGGGUGGUUCUCGAACAGAAGGUUGUACUUACCACCUAUAUGCUCAUAGUGAGGCAAGUCACUGGUGGCAGUUGAAGCAGGCCACCCUGUCUAACCCAGUCACUUGGGAACAGUUCCUGGUAGCUUUCAAUGCAGAGUACCUCCCAGAGCAUCUUCGAUAUUUGAAGGAAAUAGAGUUUCCAUACCUGAUU
This 378-nucleotide long non-coding RNA is filed under the name Carica papaya (papaya). RNAcentral describes it as "long non-coding RNA (CPAP_LNC001594)". Lineage: Eukaryota; Viridiplantae; Streptophyta; Magnoliopsida; Brassicales; Caricaceae. The record is from RNAcentral.